RNAcentral lists this ribosomal RNA (494 nucleotides) under uncultured bacterium. RNAcentral describes it as "partial 16S ribosomal RNA". It matches the Rfam family "Bacterial small subunit ribosomal RNA", at positions 28 to 507 of the family's 1533-position model. The record is from RNAcentral.
GAUGAACGCUGGCGGCGUGCCUAAUACAUGCAAGUAGAACGCUGAAGGAGGAGCUUGCUCUUCUGGAUGAGUUGCGGACGGGUGAGUAACGCGUAGGUAACCUGCCUGGUAGCGGGGGAUAACUAUUGGAAACGAUAGCUAAUACCGCAUGACAACAGUUAUUGCAUGAUAACUGUUUAAAAGGGGCAACUGCUCCACUACCAGAUGGACCUGCGUUGUAUUAGCUAGUUGGUGAGGUAACGGCUCACCAAGGCGACGAUACAUAGCCGACCUGAGAGGGUGAUCGGCCACACUGGGACUGAGACACGGCCCAGACUCCUACGGGAGGCAGCAGUAGGGAAUCUUCGGCAAUGGACGGAAGUCUGACCGAGCAACGCCGCGUGAGUGAAGAAGGUUUUCGGAUCGUAAAGCUCUGUUGUAAGAGAAGAACGAGUGUGAGAGUGGAAAGUUCACACUGUGACGGUAUCUUACCAGAAAGGGACGGCUACUACGUG